UACGUAGGGUGCGAGCGUUAAUCGGAAUUACUGGGCGUAAAGCGUGCGCAGGCGGUGAUGUAAGACCGAUGUGAAAUCCCCGGGCUUAACCUGGGAACUGCACUGGUGACUGCAUUGCUGGAGUAUGGCAGAGGGGGGUGGAAUUCCACGUGUAGCAGUGAAAUGCGUAGAGAUGUGGAGGAACACCGAUGGCGAAGGCAGCCCCCUGGGCCAAUACUGACGCUUAUGCACGAAAGCGUGGGGAGCAAACAGG
Molecule: ribosomal RNA, 253 nt
Filed under: uncultured bacterium
Lineage: Bacteria
Description: partial 16S ribosomal RNA
Rfam family: Bacterial small subunit ribosomal RNA
Source: RNAcentral